CUAUCAAACUUCGAAUACCAUACAAUGCAGACCAUGGGAGUCAGUCCGCGAGAGAUAAGUUCCGCGGGCAAAAGGGGAACACCCCAGAUCAACCGCUAAGGUCCCCAAGUUCACGUUAAGUGGAGAAGGAUGUGGAAUUGCACAGACAACCAGGAUGUUGGCUCAGAAGCAGCCACACAUUUAAAGAGUGCGUAAUAGCUCACUGGUCGAGUGAUUGUGCGCCGAAGAUGUCCGGGGCUAAACGUGACACCGAAGCGAUGGGUGCAUCUGAAAGGAUGCGCGGUAGAGGAGCAAUGUGCAGAGGCAGAAGCCGUAUCGAGAGGCACGGUGGACACUGCACAAGAGAGAAUGCCGGUAUGAGUAGCGAGAGGCAUGCGAGAAACAUGCCCGUCGAAAGCCCAAGGUUUCCUGGGGAAGGUUCAUCCGCCCAGGGUAAGUCGGGGCCUAAGCCGAGGACGGAAGUCGUAGGCGAUGGACAGCAGGUGUAGAUUCCUGCACUACCGAUGGAAUGAAGCAGUGACACAGAAGGAUAACUCGAGCAGGGUGAUGGUCAACCCUGUGCAAGCAUCAAGGUUGGGUUGUAGUGAAGUACGCAAUCCUAUAAGCUGAGGUGUGAUGCGGACCGAAAUUUCAGUAGGGAAGCGAGUGAGUUCACGCUGGCGAGAAAAGCUGCUAGUAUAUCCAAAGGUACCCGUACCGGAAACCGACGCAGGUGGGCGAGGAGAGAAUCCUGAGACGAACGGGAGAACCCUUGUUAAGGAACUCGGCAAAAUGACCCCGUAACUUCGGGAUAAGGGGUGCCUGCGAGAGCAGGCCGCAGAGAAUAGUCACAAGCGACUGUUUAGCAAAAACACAGGUAUCUGCGAAAGCGAGAGCUGACGUAUAGGUGCUGACACCUGCCCGGUGCUGGAAGGUUAAGGGAACAUGUUAGAGCAAUCGAAGCAUCGAACCGAAGCCCCAGUAAACGGCGGCCGUAACUAUAACGGUCCUAAGGUAGCGAAAUUCCUUGUCGGGUAAGUUCCGACCCGCACGAAUGGUGUAACGACUUGUGAGCUGUCUCAACAGGGGGCCCGGUGAAAUUGAAGUAUGGGUGAAGAUGCCCAUUACCCGCGACUGGACGGAGAGACCCCGUAGAGCUUUACUGCAGCCUGAUAUUGAGUUUCGGUAACUGAUGCACAGGAUAGGUGGGAGUCUGAGAGACACGGGUUUCGGCUCGUGAGGAGACGCUGUUGGGAUACCACUCUUCGGUUACUGAAAUUCUAACAUAGCUCUGUGAAACCAGAGGAUGGACAGUGUCAGGUGGACAGUUUGACUGGGGCGGUCGCCUCCGAAAGAGUAACGGAGGCGCCCAAAGGUACCCUCAGAAUGGAUGGAAACCAUUCGAAGAGCGCAAAGGCAGAAGGGUGCCUGACUGCGAGAUUGACAAAUCGAGCAGAGACGAAAGUCGGGCUUAGUGAUCCGGCGGUAUUGAGUGGAAAAGCCGUCGCUUAACGGAUAAAAGCUACCUCGGGGAUAACAGGCUGAUCUCCCCCAAGAGUCCACAUCGACGGGGAGGUUUGGCACCUCGAUGUCGGCUCGUCGCAUCCUGGGGCUGAAGCAGGUCCCAAGGGUUUGGCUGUUCGCCAAUUAAAGCGGCACGCGAGCUGGGUUCAGAACGUCGUGAGACAGUUCGGUCC
Molecule: ribosomal RNA, 1676 nt
Filed under: human gut metagenome
Description: bacterial LSU rRNA
Rfam family: Bacterial large subunit ribosomal RNA
Source: RNAcentral